Long non-coding RNA from Passer domesticus (house sparrow), 1464 nucleotides. RefSeq lists it as uncharacterized. NCBI's taxonomy places the organism in Eukaryota, Metazoa, Chordata, Aves, Passeriformes, Passeridae. The record is from RefSeq and is a predicted model, not a curated record. The transcript is spliced from 2 exons.
CGGGCCGGCGGCGGCCGCCUACGGGCAUAGCCCCGCUGCCUGCUUGUCCUCCAACAACUGUGUGUUCGUCUUGCUGCUGAAGUCCGGCCGUCGGGGAUUUUAACCAAGGGCACCCAGGAAUGUUUCCCCUCUGGCCCAAAAGGCUCCCGGAGCAGAGCAGCCGAGCGCGGCCGGCAGGGUGGGCCAGCUCAAUCACAGAAUUGUUUAGGGUUGGACGGACCUCCGGUAUCAUCCAGUCCAGCCGCCCUGCCAAGGCAGGGUCCCACCCAGACAGGUGGGUUUUUGAAUGAUUCCACCGAGGGAGAUCUCACGACCUCCCUAGGCAGCCUGUUCCAGCGCUUUGCCACUCUCAAUGUAAAGAAUUUCUUCCUCAUGAAGUGGAACGUCUUGUGGUUUAGUUUAUGGCCAUUGCUCCUUGUCCUGCUGCUGGGCACCACUGAAAAGAGCCUGGCACCAUGCCCUUGGCACCUGCCUUUGAGACAUUUACAUGCAUUGAUGAGAUCUCCUCUCAGUCUUCUCUGUUCUGUCAGACUGAACGGGCCCAGCUCCUGCAGUCUCUCAUCAUUCAAAAGAUGCUCCACACCCAUCAUCAUCUUCGUGGCCUCCACUGGACCCUUUCCAGCAGCUUCUUGUCUUUCUUGUACUGAGUCCACUCAAGGCAGAUCUUGUGGAAGGCCUUUGUACUCCCAGGCUGCACAAACAGGGAUUUGUGCAGUCUGGGAGUACAAAUCAUAGAACCACAGAAUACAUUGGAUAGGAAGGGACCUUAAAGAUCAUGUCAUUUCAAUCCCAUUGCCAUAGGGAUUGGCACACCUUCCACUAUCCCAGGUUGCUCAGAGCUCCAUCCAGCCUGCAAUGGAACACUUCCAGGGAUGGGGCAUCCACAACCUCAUCACCUCACAGUGGUUGUUCUGUGAGGUAAGACCCAUCAGGGAUGCUUCUACCAUCACUCCACAGGUCCCUUUUUAUCAAUCCUCUCUAUCACAUCAGAGAGAAGAUUCAAUCCUGUAUCACUGCUGGGAACAGCACACAGCAUGAAGCUUGUUAUCCAGCUUAUCCAGUUUAUUAAGGACAUAGACAUGUCCUCUUGUCUCUUUUCCUGUGUUUUCUCUGUGGUGAAGAAAUGAGACUUUAGGCACCUGUAACAGCUUUGCUGCUGCUCAGGGAGGAGUUGACUCUCAUAGGACCCUACCUGGUAAACAGCUUUAUUUAUUACUUGUCUUUUUUUAGAAUUGGGGGCGUCUGUGUGUAACGUGUUAGCUCAGAAGCAAAACUAGUACAGAGAUGAAUCUUGGCAAUGCAGCCAAGAUGGGCAGUAACAUCAGAACUCUCCAGACUAAGGUCUUCCUUGAUGGACAAUGCUGUACUUAAACCGCUGCUUCUAUAGCAGGACACUGUUGAAUUUGUAUAGAUCUUCUCAUGCAGCUUUAUUUAUAAUAAAGGAAGUCUUGUACAAAAUCUAAA